Molecule: ribosomal RNA, 256 nt
Filed under: uncultured bacterium
Lineage: Bacteria
Description: partial 16S ribosomal RNA
Rfam family: Bacterial small subunit ribosomal RNA
Source: RNAcentral
CCGCACAGUAAACUAUGUACACUAGGCGUUGGAGCAAGAGCUUCAGUGCCGCCGCAAACGCAUUAAGUGUACCGCCUGGGAAGUAUGCCCGCAAGGGUGAAACUCAAAGGAAUUGACGGGGGCCCACACAAGCGGUGGAGCAUGUGGUUUAAUUCGAUGAUACGCGAGGAACCUUACCUGGGUUUGACAUCAAGAGUAAUGGCACAGAGAUGUGUCAGCGUAGCAAUACGACUCUUGACAGGUGCUGCAUGGCUGU